This 492-nucleotide ribosomal RNA is filed under the name uncultured bacterium. Its description in RNAcentral is "partial 16S ribosomal RNA". It matches the Rfam family "Bacterial small subunit ribosomal RNA", at positions 29 to 507 of the family's 1533-position model. The record is from RNAcentral.
AGUGAACGCUGGCGGUAGGCCUAACACAUGCAAGUCGAACGGCAGCACAGUAAGAGCUUGCUCUUACGGGUGUCGAGUGGCGGACGGGUGAGGAAUACAUCGGAAUCUACUUUUUCGUGGGGGAUAACGUAGGGAAACUUACGCUAAUACCGCAUACGACCUACGGGUGAAAGCAGGGGAUCUUCGGACCUUGCGCGAUUGAAUGAGCCGAUGUCGGAUUAGUUAGUUGGCGGGGUAAAGGCCCACCAAGGCGACGAUCCGUAGCUGGUCUGAGAGGAUGGUCAGACAGACUGGAAGUGAGACACGGUCCAGACUCCUACGGGAGGCAGCAGUGGGGAAUAUUGGACAAUGGGCGCAAGCCUGAUCCAGCCAUACCGCGUGGGUGAAGAAGGCCUUCGGGUUGUAAAGCCCUUUUGUUGGGAAAGAAAAGCAGCAGGUUAAUACCCCGCUGUUCUGACGGUACCCAAAGAAUAAGCACCGGCUAACUUCGUG